RNAcentral lists this small nucleolar RNA (297 nucleotides) under Aspergillus aculeatus ATCC 16872. RNAcentral's name for it is "Fungal small nucleolar RNA U3". It matches the Rfam family "Fungal small nucleolar RNA U3". Rfam says of the family: Small nucleolar RNAs (snoRNAs) are involved in the processing and modification of rRNA in the nucleolus. There are two main classes of snoRNAs: the box C/D class, and the box H/ACA class. The record is from Rfam by way of RNAcentral. Lineage: Eukaryota; Fungi; Ascomycota; Eurotiomycetes; Eurotiales; Aspergillaceae.
GCAUACAGUUCAAAGAAUCACUUUAGAGUAGACGUCCCACCUCUGAGCUCUUCUAAAGAGCCACAGAAUCCUCACCCUUGCUGAUGACUUCUAUGUCCUCGAUGCCCUAAAGUGAAGCCGUUUUACUUCCGACUCGACCGUGUCUGCGCCGGCGGCUGGGAAUAUUCUGUUCGUCAGACUUAUUCCCGCCAUCUGGACGGGCGCUUUGGUCCAGGGAGUGGUGAUGAUCUUUACCUUGUCGUGACGUCUUGACUUCGGUCGGUCUGACUUGGUGGGCGUCGAGGAGGUCUGAAAGGU